GAUAACCAGUCGAAAGAUUGGCUAAUACCGGAUAAGCCCACGGUCUCUUCGGAGACUGAGGGAAAAGGUGGCCUCUGUAUACAAGCUAUCACAACCAGAUGAGUCCGCGGCCCAUCAGUUUNUUGGCGGGGUNAUGGCCCACCAAGGCAACGACGGGUAGCUGGUCUGAGAGGACGAUCAGCCACACUGGAACUGAGACACGGUCCAGACUCCUACGGGAGGCAGCAGUGGGGAAUUUUGCGCAAUGGGCGAAAGCCUGACGCAGCAACGCCGCGUGUGUGAUGAAGGUCUUUGGAUUGUAAAGCACUUUCGACCGGGACGAAACCGUAAAGCCUAAUACGCUUUGCCUUGACGGUACCGGGAGAAGAAGCACCGGCUAACUCUGUGCCAGCAGCCGCGGUAAUACAGAGGGUGCAAGCGUUGUUCGGAAUUAUUGGGCGUAAAGCGCGUGUAGGCGGCUUUGCAAGUCGGGUGUGAAAGCCCUCAGCUCAACUGAGGAAGUGCGCCCGAAACUGCAGAGCUUGAGUGCCGGAGAGGGUGGCGGAAUUCCCCAAGUAGAGGUGAAAUUCGUAGAUAUGGGGAGGAACACCGGUGGCGAANGCGGCCACCUGGACGGUAACUGACGCUGAGACGCAAAGCGUGGGUAGCAACAGGAUUAGAUACCCUGGUAGUCCCGCCGUAAACGAUGAAAACUAGGUGUCGUGGGAGUUGACCCCGC
Molecule: ribosomal RNA, 718 nt
Filed under: Corallococcus exiguus
Lineage: Bacteria; Pseudomonadati; Myxococcota; Myxococcia; Myxococcales; Myxococcaceae
Description: bacterial SSU rRNA
Rfam family: Bacterial small subunit ribosomal RNA
Source: RNAcentral